UCCUACGGGAGGCAGCAGUGAGGAAUAUUGCUCAAUGGGCGAAAGCCUGAAGCAGCGACGCCGCGUGAGGGAUGAAAUCCGUUAGGAUGUAAACCUCUUUUGCAGGGGAAGAAUCUCCCGCUCUGCGGGAUUGACGGUACUCUGCGAAUAAGCACCGGCAAACUACGUGCCAGCAGCCGCGGUAAUACGUAGGGUGCGAGCGUUGUCCGGAAUUACUGGGUGUAAAGGGUCCGCAGGCGGGCAAACAAGUCGGUAGUGAAAUCUCUCCGCUCAACGGAGAGACUGCUUCCGAUACUGUUUGUCUUGAGUUCGAGAGAGGAUGAUGGAAUUCAUGGUGUAGCGGUGAAAUGCGUAGAGAUCAUGAAGAACACCGGUAGCGAAGGCGGUCAUCUGGCUCGAUACUGACGCUCAGGGACGAAAGCGUGGGGAGCAAACAGGAUUAGAUACCCGCGUAGUCCC
RNAcentral lists this ribosomal RNA (459 nucleotides) under uncultured bacterium. RNAcentral's name for it is "bacterial SSU rRNA". It matches the Rfam family "Bacterial small subunit ribosomal RNA", at positions 337 to 797 of the family's 1533-position model. The record is from RNAcentral.